CAGUAGGGAAUCUUCCGCAAUGGACGAAAGUCUGACGGAGCAACGCCGCGUGAACGAUGAAGGUUUUAGGAUCGUAAAGUUCUGUUGUUAGGGAAGAACACGUACCGUUCGAAUAGGGUGGUAUCUUGACGGUACCUAACGAGAAAGCCCCGGCUAACUACGUGCCAGCAGCCGCGGUAAUACGUAGGGGGCAAGCGUUGUCCGGAAUUAUUGGGCGUAAAGCGCGCGCAGGCGGUUCUUUAAGUCUGAUGUGAAAUCUUGCGGCUCAACCGUAAGCGGUCAUUGGAAACUGGAGAACUUGAGUACAGAAGAGGAGAGUGGAAUUCCAUGUGUAGCGGUGAAAUGCGUAGAUAUAUGGAGGAACACCAGUGGCGAAGGCGACUCUCUGGUCUGUAACUGACGCUGAGGCGCGAAAGCGUGGGGAGCAAACAGGAUUAGAUACCCUGGUAGUCCACGCCGUAAACGAUGAGUGCUAGGUGUUAGGGGGUUUCCGCCCCUUAGUGCUGCAGUUAACGCAUUAAGCACUCCGCCUGGGGAGUACGGCCGCAAGGCUGAAAC
Molecule: ribosomal RNA, 558 nt
Filed under: uncultured Bacillota bacterium
Lineage: Bacteria; Bacillati; Bacillota
Description: bacterial SSU rRNA
Rfam family: Bacterial small subunit ribosomal RNA
Source: RNAcentral